UUAAAAAAAUCCAGAGAUCUACUGGACGCAAAAGCACGACGGUUCCUCGCCUCCAAAAAAUGGUGUUUAUGGCAUUGCUGGAACUCCUGGGUGAGGCUGUGUGAGGAAAUGUGUGCAGCCUCUUGUUCUUGCAUGCCUGGUGUCCCAGAUAUUCCAUCUGAUCUGUUCCUGGAGCAAGGUGUCUGGACAGUGAUGGAUUGACUGAUGAGGGUCCAGGUUUGUGUUUCUGGAACGAGCCCGGCUAAGAAUUUGCCAAGGGCAUCAACAGCAGUUUUCCCAGGCUCCAGCACAAGGAUUAUGUAGUCAAUCCACAAAUGACUCAAAUCUUUGAAGAAAAGGACAUGGUUAUCAGAGAGGCUUUGACGACAGCAAGGACGGGAGUGCUAUCUGCCUUUUUCCAUCAGAGAUUCCCAUUCCCUCUCAUUAUCAUACUCAGGACAUCAGCACAGCCAUGGGCCCGAGGGAAUCCCAUCCAACUUUGAAGGGAACAUGCACAAGACCUCGCCCCUGCGUUGUUUCAGACAGAUCAAACCAGAUUUGCCUCGUGUAAGGGUUCUUCAGCCCCACUGAGGAUGUGAUGUGAUGUGAAAGCUGCUGUAAGUGGGAAAAGGAGAUGUCUCUACCUGCUCUCUCCCAGUGCCCUGUAAUGAAAAAUGCUUUUGGAGCAACACUGGAAAUAAGCCAUCAAAAUAUCUGAUUAAACCUCUUAGGAAACUCUCACUAAUCACCUUCUCUGCUCUUGAUGGAAUGUAUUUAUGCAUUAUAAAUAUACUUACUAUGUGUGUGUGCUCCAUAAAUCACACCCAGCACUUGUGUGUGAUGUAUAAGCACAUUCUAUAGAACACACACAAAUACAGAUGCCAAGCUCCCACAGAGUUCAUCACUGGAAAAUGUUUGAAGGAUCUGAUCCUUAAUAUUUAAUGAGCAAGAUGCUAUUUCCUUCCUCAGCUUUUAUCUCUGGUUUGGCAUAGUCAUUAAAUUUGUUGUUUCCUUGCAAGAUUAUAUAAUUUAUGACCUAAUUUUAGACUUCUGUGUAACCGCGUUGAAAUCCUCGUGGCGUAUCCAGAUUUCUUCCAGCAUUAGACACCAGCUCCAACACGACUCCUGAGAGCUGCCCAUCAGCAAGGAGUUACAGGCAUGGAAGGAAAACAGGCCAAAAAUAUUCAGGCAGCAUUAGAAGAUUAGUUUUUGGGGGGGUUUUGCCAUGCAAAAAACAUGAUUUAGCAGAAUUUCCAAAGCUGUCUGCGGUGCUGGCAGGAAUCCCCAGGUAAGACAGACAGCACCCAGCGAC
Molecule: long non-coding RNA, 1291 nt
Organism: Ficedula albicollis (Collared flycatcher)
Lineage: Eukaryota; Metazoa; Chordata; Aves; Passeriformes; Muscicapidae
Exons: 3
Source: RefSeq, a predicted model, not a curated record